This is a long non-coding RNA of Chelonia mydas (Green sea turtle), 4995 nucleotides long. RefSeq lists it as uncharacterized. Lineage: Eukaryota; Metazoa; Chordata; Testudines; Cheloniidae. The record is from RefSeq and is a predicted model, not a curated record. The transcript is spliced from 3 exons.
UUGUUGUUUGUUCAGUUCUUUAAUUUACCCUGUGGGAAAAAGGGGACUCCGGUAGGAAGUGAUCCGGGGAGGCAGUUGCAUAGCACCCCAAGGUGUAGGACCUUGCUGCCAAUCAUUGAGCCCUGGAUCAGAGCCAAAGGAAAUAGUGGGCCCAGUUUCCCCAAAUAAUCCCUAAAGAGGUGACAACGGUAGGAGUCUAUCCUCAGCAGGCAACCAAACUGGAGAAGGCUCUAGACACACAAGGGUCCAGACCCCAAGUCCCUGACCUAAGAAGAAGGCCCCAAAGCUCUUUCAGGCAUCCAAAGACUUACUUUCUUUCAUGGACUGGAAUGUGUGACCUGGCCGGAUGGCUGAGUCACUGCAGGGCCAGAUCACGGCUAUCAACAGGAGUUCCAGGAAAGAAGAGGAUUUGCCAUGUCCUGCCUGACCACUGGGUGGCGCUGGUGGUAAAUGACCCUCUUCACAGUCUUGAAAACAAUGGAUAAAAGAAUGCCAUACCAUAGAAUGUAUAGAAUAUCCAAAACCACAUUUAAUUCAAGCAAAGCCUGUAAAUCAUGAUAUAAACUGCCAUCAAUUUUCUUUUCCUGUAGAAAUAUAAGGCCUAUUCUGUAAUCUGAAAAAUUUGAGUCUAUUCCAUCUCUUUUGCAGCUUUCAAGAAAUCCAAAAAUAUUUAUACCUUGAGUAGCUAGACAAAUAUGCCAAAUAUCAUAGGUUCAAGAAGAACACUGUGAUGGCUACACUUUCAGGCAUCCAGCCAGGAAACUACAUGGUGUUGAUUGACAUGGUGGAAGCGCAGCUUUGACAUUUUGAUAUUCAUUUGUCACAGAAAGCUUAUUGGAUCCUAGUGAAAUUCAGAAAAAUCCUAGUGUAAGGCUCUACCUUUUCAUGGUAUAAUGGAGCAAGCUUUAAUUCACCCCCUUUGAAGAUGUACAUGUUUUCUACAUAGAUAAAAUAGCCAUGCAUAUGUGCAGCACAGCUUUCCUUUGGUUAAAAUGUUGGUUAAACUGCAACCAGUGGAUAAAGUGAAUUUUUGAAUCCCUCAUCACUUGUUCAGUCAAAACCAGUUUUUACCAACCCACUCAGACCAUUCCCAAUGAAAGUUAUUUCCCACCCAAUUUCAGCUGUGCUAGAACAGGUGUUUGGUUUUUUUUUAAAACAAGUCAAGAUUUUUUUAUUACUGUGGGGAAAGUCUACACUACCCGCCUCUCAUUCAAAAACCCCUGAAAUCUGUUAGGCUCACAGCUUCAAAAGAGUUCUCUUUUUGACAGAAACCAAACGUAGAAAUCUUCAGCCAGAAGGAGUCUCAGAAGUUAGAAGGGAUGGAAAUCUUAACAAUAGCAGUUGAGAGCACACUAACUAUAAUAGUCUUAUGAUGUCAUAGAAGCAUAGAACUGGAAGGGACCUCAGUAGGUCGCUUUAUGAUGACACCACAUACUAGAAAGGAUAAGGAAGAAAUAAUCUUGCUCUCUUCCCAUUUUAUAAACCCAUUGCAGGAUUCCAUACACAAAAUAAAGCCAACUUAAAAUUUACACUUCUGUAAAAAAUGUGUUACCGACCAUUCUCACAAGCAUCAUCUAAGAUUAUGAUAAUUGAAAGAGGGGAAAAAUGAUUUUUCUCCCAUUUUGUUUACUUCAUGCAUUUGACCGUGUUUUGUGUGCAUUCAGUUUUCAUGGUUUCUCUUUUUCUAGUCAGUCAUUUCGCCCUGUUUGUGUGGACCUUUCACACAGCAACAGGGAGAGAAAAUAAGGUAAAUACAAGUUUUAAAUAUUAGAAAAUGUGAUUCUAAUACCACAAAAAUUGGCAGGAGGAUUCAGAGGCAUGUUUAGUACUUGAACUAUUUUAACUCACGGUCUGAAAUUGACUAGCUAUUAAGCUGAAUUUCCUACAAGUAGACUCUCAAAGGGAAGAGAGAUGGGAAAAAUGUUAGAGGUACAUAUUAAAAUCUAAAAUGUAUUAGGUAUUAUUCCUUGUCUCUUUCCCUCUCAGAAAAAGUCAACAGUAAUGUAACCUGAUCUCUUUUUCUCAAGAUUGCUUAUACAAUCAAAACUACACACUGUGCAAUCCAUUGGGACACAUAGCCCUCUGGGGCUGCAAAGUUAUAAAGCAACAUUAGAGAGGAAAAAUUGCACCGUCCUGGUAAGUUUCAAACCGCUUCUACUGAUGCUGCCAGGAAAAUGCUAUUGUGCAGGAGCACAGGUGCAAUUACAUUGACUGUUACUUCUCAUCUUCUGCGUGGGUCACCCUGGAGGCACAAGUGGAAAGAAACAGGGAGGUGGGAGAGAUUCUCACAGACACAUGGGAAGAGUAUAGGGGAGAGAAAUGGAAUUCCCUUUUCCGGGAGACAAAGACUGCACUAUCUGUCACCCCAUUUUAGACGAUCAUCUGACAUUUUGACAUGAAGAAGGCUCUCUCUCAAAAGCGAAUAAAAUUUGUAAAAUUACAACCUGAUGCUAAGUGCAAGGAUGGACUUUGUGAUUUGUCCCAGGCUAUCAGAAUACAAGCCCAGUGACUGUUAUCCAUAAUAUGGGAAAUCAUCAACACUUUUUUUUUUCACUGAUGCAGGAUGGGUUUUUUUCCUCUCUUGAUUUAUUUACAAGAAGCAAUGUACAAAAUCCAUAGAGGGGAUGGUGGGAGGAAGAAGCGAAAGACCCCAGGAGGCAAACUGUUUUAUUUCAGCAUGGCUAUUUUAGGUGAAAGCAUCUCAGCCUAACACUGAUAUUGAGUGAAAACAUUAACCAAAAGAAGCUCAUAACAAUAACUCCCAUGGCUGAGAGUGAGAGUGAGAGAGAGAGAGUGUGUGUGUGUAUGUAUGUAUGUAAACUUUGGUGUUCCCUUUGCAUAAAAUUAAAUGAGUGAGAAGUGUUGUUUAAUUAUCUGACUUAGAACUUGCAUUAUAAUGAAGAUAGAUUGAGAGAUUUAGUUACUGAUUUUUUAAAAAGCUUCAUGAAGAUGAAAAAUGCUAUGUAAGUAAUAAAGACAAUAUUUCUGUCUCUCCUGAAGGGGCACAAUCUAUAUAAGAGGAUCCCAUUUUAGCAGGAUCCCAUUCUAAUGAUGAAGUUGCACAAAUGAUGGGUUUUGGAAUCUUUCAUCAAAAUGCUGAAAGCUUCAUGUGUAUGUUCCCACACAAGAAAUGUACUCCUCAACCUUAUAAUUCCCUUACUAGAUUUUCUAGCUAUUACCUGGUUAAAAUGUGUCAUUUGGGGAGAGUGGGGGAGAUUCUCUACAGGCUGGUACAGAAAUCCCAGACAAGUUAUACAAACCUUAUAACUGUCCAAGUGACAGAUUGAUCAGUAUCAUUUAAAAUCAGACCAUAUCUAGGUCAUUUCCCUCACCCCCAUAAAUGCAUUCUUACCAUUAGUGGUAUCUCUAGUAGCACAAGUGUCAUCUUUGAAUGUUAUGGGUGAGAGGACUGGGAAGCUGAACGUUUUGCCACGUGUACUGUGAAUGAGAGAGCUCUCUCUUAGAAGAGGCCCUCUGAAGAGCAUGCAUUAACUCAUUAUGAUUCUUACCACUCUUCUCCCAGUGGCCUCACCCCUCCAGGCCUAUUCGUUGCUUGUCCUUUGACAUAGCCUCUAAUCUUUUAAUGGAUACUCACUAUAAAGCGGUGCUAAAUUCUUUUUUUUUACUUAAAAUUAAUGGGACUUCUUAGCCAUUGGAUUGCUCCGGGAGGUUGUCCAAGCUAAUGGAAACUGACAGAUCCACCCAUAAUGGACACAUAAUAAAAAAAACCUUCAAGAAGUGCACCAGAAGGAACUCUAAUGAAACUCAGUGCAAUCAAAAAAAUAUGAUCUGUAUUUUACACUGGUUAUUGUCAAAACACAAUAGAGCAAUGGUUCUCAACCUGCGAUCCACAAACCCCUGGGGGUCUGCGGACAGUGUCUAAGGGCUCCGUGAAAGACAUGAAAGAAAAAAAUGACUUAACAGAAUUCAACUGUGUAUAAGGAGAAUAGAUUCUCAAAGGAUCUGCAAUUCCAUUUGAAAUUUUUUAGGGGUCCACAAAUGAAAAAAAGUUGAAAUCACUGCAAUAGAGGACAGAGAGUUUUAAAAAGCACCUAAAUCCCAUUGUCCAGUGACUUAAAUACUUAAGAGUUUUUCUCAUUGAAAUUCAAAGUGAAGAUUAUUAUAUUAUUAUUUAUUACUAUUUUUACUGAAAAUAAACAGGAUUAUACAGAAAAUAUAUCAUUUAAAACUAGCUACAACGUUUUGAUAAUGUGGCAGUGAAUUGAGUUACAAAAGAAGAAUUCAAUUACCCUUUAUGUAGUGCCUCACCUAUUAAAUAUAGAGCGUAAUAUCUUACCUAGAUUUUCCUGUCUCUGGUGGGUAGAGUAUCUGGAAGUAGUGUGAUAAGAAUUUUUAUACCCUUUGCCUCCCUUCCCUCCUUUUCUGUGGGAAAUGCCAGUCAAUCCAGAUGACAUCAGACCAGUUGCUGCGAUUAGUUUAUUUAAAAUGAUCUCCCUCUGGAAUCAUUCCCUUUCAUGCUAUGCACAUUUGAAGUGACAUCAUACUGUCAGAAUAAAAAUCUCUCUUUUCUUGUUCCUUGAAGGUAAGUAGUUUUCAGUCUUUUGUUUCAUACUGAAAACUUCCUCUGUGAUAAAUGUGGGUCAGUAAUUAAAGAUCUAGUUCACAUUUCCCAUCCAUUUAAUUGGUUUAUUCCAAACCUGGUCUCAGUCCAUCUGCAGUGACUAUGUCUACACUAGAGGAUUUUAGCAACAAAAUCCCACCUGUGGUGGCGCUGGUUCAGCUGCACAGAUGAGGGCCCGAUAGUAAACUAGGGCUAUGCCUACACUGUACUUUUGUGGUUAAAACUUUUGUUGGUCAGGGAGUGUGAAAAAAACAAACCCCUGACCGACAAAAAUUUUGACGACGAAAAGCUCCCAGCAACAAAGCUACCGCCUCUCAUUGGGGGUGGUUUUAUUUUGUCUGGAGGAGAGCUCUCUCCUGCCAACAAAGAGUAGCUAUGCUGCGUGCCUUCCAGCAGCAAGGCUUUACUGCAGG